GAUGAACGCUGGCGGCGUGCCUAAUACAUGCAAGUCGAGCGAACAGACGAGGAGCUUGCUCCUCUGACGUUAGCGGCGGACGGGUGAGUAACACGUGGAUAACCUACCUAUAAGACUGGGAUAACUUCGGGAAACCGGAGCUAAUACCGGAUAAUAUAUUGAACCGCAUGGUUCAAUAGUGAAAGACGGUUUUGCUGUCACUUAUAGAUGGAUCCGCGCCGCAUUAGCUGGUUGGUAAGGUAACGGCUUACCAAGGCGACGAUGCGUAGCCGACCUGAGAGGGUGAUCGGCCACACUGGAACUGAGACACGGUCCAGACUCCUACGGGAGGCAGCAGUAGGGAAUCUUCCGCAAAGGGCGAAAGCCUGACGGAGCAACGCCGCGUGAGUGAUGAAGGUCUUCGGAUCGUAAAACUCUGUUAUUAGGGAAGAACAAAUGUGUAAGUAACUAUGCACGUCUUGACGGUACCUAAUCAGAAAGCCACGGCUAACUACGUG
RNAcentral lists this ribosomal RNA (497 nucleotides) under uncultured bacterium. RNAcentral's name for it is "partial 16S ribosomal RNA". It matches the Rfam family "Bacterial small subunit ribosomal RNA", at positions 28 to 507 of the family's 1533-position model. The record is from RNAcentral.